Molecule: non-coding RNA, 107 nt
Filed under: uncultured Massilistercora sp.
Lineage: Bacteria; Bacillati; Bacillota; Clostridia; Eubacteriales
Description: THF riboswitch
Rfam family: THF (Tetrahydrofolate) riboswitch aptamer
About the family: THF riboswitch presents a pseudoknot that joins P1-P2 and the loop of P3 and two THF binding.
Source: RNAcentral
GCAGAGUAGGAAUAUGUGCGUUAAGUGCCGUGCGGACGGGGAGUUGCCGCAUGGACGAAGGAAGAGCCGGAAAAGCCUUCCGCGGUAUAUGUUCCGCAUCCCGCUGC